Molecule: ribosomal RNA, 468 nt
Filed under: uncultured bacterium
Lineage: Bacteria
Description: partial 16S ribosomal RNA
Rfam family: Bacterial small subunit ribosomal RNA
Source: RNAcentral
GACGAACGCUGGCGGCGUGCUUAACACAUGCAAGUCGAACGGAAAGGCCCUGCUUUUGUGGGGUGCUCGAGUGGCGAACGGGUGAGUAACACGUGAGUAACCUGCCCUUGACUUUGGGAUAACUUCAGGAAACUGGGGCUAAUACCGGAUAGGAGCUCCUGCUGCAUGGUGGGGGUUGGAAAGUUUCGGCGGUUGGGGAUGGACUCGGGGCUUAUCAGCUUGUUGGUGGGGUGGUGGCUUACCAAGGGUUUGACGGGUAGCCGGCCUGAGAGGGUGACCGGGCACAAUGGGACUGAGAUACGGCCCAGACUCCUACGGGAGGCAGCAGUGGGGAAUAUUGCACAAUGGGCGGAAGCCUGAUGCAGCAACGCCGCGUGCGGGAUGAAGGCCUUCGGGUUGUAAACCGCUUUCGCCUGUGACGAAGCGUGAGUGACGGUAAUGGGUAAAGAAGCACCGGCUAACUACGUG